ACUCAACUGUGAAAGGCUUAAACAGUUGCCUAAGCACAUUAAAAAGUUGGUCAAUCUCCAGACCCUUGAACUUCACGGUUGUGUUAGUUUGACUCAUAUGCCACGUGGGAUUGGUGAAUUAACUUCCCUUGAGAAUUUAUCAGCAUUCAUGGUGGCAAAAGAUAACUGUGUCACCAAACAUAGUGGUCGACUUGGCGAAUUACGUGACUUGAACAAUCUG
This 220-nucleotide unclassified non-coding RNA is filed under the name Hevea brasiliensis (rubber tree). Lineage: Eukaryota; Viridiplantae; Streptophyta; Magnoliopsida; Malpighiales; Euphorbiaceae. The record is from RNAcentral.